Dreissena polymorpha is the source of this 655-nucleotide long non-coding RNA. RefSeq lists it as uncharacterized. Lineage: Eukaryota; Metazoa; Mollusca; Bivalvia; Myida; Dreissenidae. The transcript has 4 exons. The record is from RefSeq and is a predicted model, not a curated record.
UGAGUCGGCGAAAAUGUUAAUUACUUGACUAAUUUAAAGUUUAUGGCCUGUCGUUGCGAAUCUUGUGACACAAGAACAACUGGUAUAUAAAAAGGCUUUCAGAUAUUUUACGAUGCAUUCUACCAGCCUGUUUCAACUGUGAACGACUUGAACAUUCACCCGAACUUUCUUCCGAUCCAGCGACAAUCAAAACAGACAAAAUGAAGGCAGUUUUCGCCAUUCUUUUCGUCGCCCUGGUUUCCUUGAAAUUUGCAGAUUUAAUAGACGCCGCGCCAACACCAAUGGACGACGAAGACAGACAGGAAAUAGCCAAUUUAGCUGCAAGAAUCAUUAAGGUCGCCAUCUCGAAUACCGGAUACUAUGCCAGUGAAAAACGGAACGCCGGAACUGUGGACUCACUCUACAAUCUCCCCCACCUUCUUAGCGUUGGAAAGAAGUAACUUUAUAUACAAGAUGGCGUUGCAUUCUGGACGAGUCACAUUUCGGCAGCGGAUAAGGAUUUUCAAAGUGUAUUUUUCGGACUUAUUUUUCAUAACGAAUUGUUUUACAUAUUGACAGUAUUGUGGACUUACUCACAGAUGUUAUGACAGGAAUCCUUAUUGUGACGAUUUCUGAAUGUUGCGCGCUACGAUAUUAAAUAAAGUUUAUACCAGUU